This 70-nucleotide transfer RNA is filed under the name Macrostomum lignano. It matches the Rfam family "tRNA". Rfam says of the family: Transfer RNA (tRNA) molecules are approximately 80 nucleotides in length. Their secondary structure includes four short double-helical elements and three loops (D, anti-codon, and T loops). The record is from Rfam by way of RNAcentral. Lineage: Eukaryota; Metazoa; Platyhelminthes; Macrostomidae.
GGGGUUGUAGCAUAGUGGCUAGAGCGUUGGACUCACAACUGAAAGGUUGGAGGUUCGAUUCCCGAUCCCA